RNAcentral lists this ribosomal RNA (592 nucleotides) under Kluyveromyces marxianus. RNAcentral describes it as "partial large subunit ribosomal RNA". It matches the Rfam family "Eukaryotic large subunit ribosomal RNA", at positions 36 to 668 of the family's 3401-position model. RNAcentral also lists the same sequence under 1 other name. The record is from RNAcentral. Lineage: Eukaryota; Fungi; Ascomycota; Saccharomycetes; Saccharomycetales; Saccharomycetaceae.
UUGCAUAUCCCAAAUGCGGAGGAAAAGAAACCAACCGGGAUUGCCUUAGUAACGGCGAGUGAAGCGGCAAAAGCUCAAAUUUGAAAUCUGGCGUCUUCGACGUCCGAGUUGUAAUUUGAAGAAGGCGACUUUGUAGCUGGUCCUUGUCUAUGUUCCUUGGAACAGGACGUCAUAGAGGGUGAGAAUCCCGUGUGGCGAGGAUCCCAGUUAUUUGUAAAGUGCUUUCGACGAGUCGAGUUGUUUGGGAAUGCAGCUCUAAGUGGGUGGUAAAUUCCAUCUAAAGCUAAAUAUUGGCGAGAGACCGAUAGCGAACAAGUACAGUGAUGGAAAGAUGAAAAGAACUUUGAAAAGAGAGUGAAAAAGUACGUGAAAUUGUUGAAAGGGAAGGGCAUUUGAUCAGACAUGGCGUUUGCUUCGGCUUUCGCUGGGCCAGCAUCAGUUUUAGCGGUUGGAUAAAUCCUCGGGAAUGUGGCUCUGCUUCGGUAGAGUGUUAUAGCCCGUGGGAAUACAGCCAGCUGGGACUGAGGAUUGCGACUUUUGUCAAGGAUGCUGGCGUAAUGGUUAAAUGCCGCCCGUCUUAACACCCGGACCA